AUGAAAUGCUGCCUUCCUCGGGGCCACGAGAGGGCCAUGGCCCUUGGCCAGGGCAGAAUUGCCUCCAGUUCGCAGCCUGCCUGCUGCCAGGUGGACCGAUCAUCUUUGGUUUCCUGGAAACAGUCCACAAAUCAAUUUAAGAAAGAGCCAAGCUGCGGUUCCGGGACUUAGCCAACAUUCAUUGACCCUCCUGUACCUUGGACCAAAGGCAAGUCUUUGACCCAGUGAACAAUUUUUGAAGCCAGCACAAAGUUUUCAGGCUCUAGAUACUGCAUGUGUUAAGCUGAUGGAAAAGAGACUGUUUGAGCCUCCAAGGCAGACUGACCUUCCCAGUGACUGAGAAACUAGACCUCUGAUAAGUGAAUUCAUCCCUCUGGGCCUCACUGCCCCCACUGAAAAUGAGAUGUUUGGACCAAUCUUUGAAUAUGUGAUUCCCAAAGUGAGGAAUGCAGACACUGCUGGUGUGCAAGAUGAUUUUAGGAGUGCCAGCUUCUGAGGUGGUCGCCAGGAGCUAGGGGAAGAUGGAAACGGGAUGAUUCAAGUCCAGAAGCAGAUCUGUGCCUACUGUUGGGGUAGGCCAGGAAAGGUGACCCCAUGAGCCCUCCUUCCCUUUGCCUUCCAUCUGUUAUAAAUUGCCUUCACCUCAUGAUGCUUCAGCUGGGAGUCCAGACUGCAGCUGGCUUAAACAGAUUGCUGUGCUUGCAAAUAGCAAGACACUUCAGCCUGCAAAAUCAAACUUUAUCCCUUUUCUUAAAUAAGGAUGCAACUCCACUGUGUCAGUUCGGGCUUUACUUCUUGGGGUGUGACCUUGGAGUGACGCAGCGGGCAUCACCCAGACUCCCUGGGGCCACCCAAGUGAGCUGGCCAGGUGGGCAGCCUCAGCUGAGACUGUCUCCCCACCAGGCUGAGGUCUGCGGAUCAGGCUUCAUGGUUGGAGAGCUCCAGACAAGGAGCGGCAGGGCAGGUCCCUUGGGAAGACAGAAGUGUGUGAGGAGCCAAGGACCACCAUUCGCCAGCAAGGGUGGGGCCACCCAAACAUCCAGAUGGUGGAAUCAUGUAAUUUGAGACCCAGUGAGGAAAAGAGACAUGCCUGCGGUCAUCCCAGGAAUGUGUUAUCUCAUGCCAUCCUCUCAACAACCUACAGUAUCAGGGAGCUAAAGCGCAUGGAUAGGAUAACCUGCUCAGACUCUCACUCAGCUCAUGAGGCAUGGAGCCUGUGAGUUUAAUCCCACAUAGUCGGGAACCCUGGGCCCUUCACCUCGGUUCUAUGGUGCUUGUUGUUCCCAGACAUGAUGCUGAAAGGUGGUUUGGGGCCAAGACCUGAAAGAACUAGGAGUUUGGAUGGAUUUACCCUAUAGACAGAGGGGCGCCAUUAAUGGGUCUUAAGCCUCAAGACUGUGUUUUACAAAGAUAUUUCUGGUGGACUGGCUGGGGGAGGCUGGAGACAGGGAGGCUGGUGGGAGAGAUGUGGGGCACAGAUAACGUGGAUGACAGAGGCCUACGCAUACCCAUGUGCACGUGUGCUUGUGGGUUACGGGCCCUGGGCAGUCGGGAACAUUAGGAGUCUGGGGAGGCCUCCUGCCAUGCCCUUUUCACUGGGCAAGGGCCAUUUUUAUCUGCUACACGUCAGGCAAAACCUGUGCCAACUGCCCAAGACUGCACCUCAAAUCUAGCAAAUAAGAGAGAGGAUGGUGUGGAUUACGUUAUAUUUAAAACAAGUCCACACAAUGCCUGUAAUUUUUUAUUCUGACUCCGUAAUUACAGCCCAUGACCGGUCAGAUCAUAGUUAUCCCCACACCGACCCGCUGUUGAGACACAUUGAAUUAAAGGCUUUGCUGCUCCUUCAGAUUCUAUUUUGGACGCCAAGCACUGGCAGGUAACUGGCCUUUCACGAGACCCGUCUCAGUGGAGCCCCUCCCAGAGCAGCCUGCAUGAAGGCCAGGUCAGCACUGGGCCCUUGAGAAGACCCCUGAUGCUGUGAUGCUCUGCCCAGCCUGAGCCUUGGGCCAGAGCCAGGGCCUGGAGAGCUAUGGAGGCACCAUCCUUAGAGCAGGCCAACCUCCCAUGGUCAGGCCCAUCUCGGAGCUUCUGCACUCUGAAAGAUUCCUGCCCCAGACCUUGACCAGGGUCCCAGGGUCAGAUAGGCCAAGCCCUGGCCAUCGGGCACAGUUGUCACAUAUAGGCUGGCAUUGCCCAAAGGGGCCUGGUUUAGAAAAGAGGAGGAAAAAACACAAAGAGCACAAGCCAGCCAGGCUCACACAGGCAGCCCCUGUGACUAACCCGGCCUGGGAUCCACCAACGACCACCUCUCAGCCCCUGAUAGAGCAGGAGUGGGCUUGUCCCUGCCCACAGACCUGGAACCCCACUACCCUUCCUCCCCGUGCCCCCGGCCCCCACACACAGACCUGCCUCCAGGUGACCCUGGCAGGGAGAUCGACUAGCUCCCACUUUACAUAAACUGCAGGUCUGGGCUCUGUCGGAGGCGCUCCACUUGUAUCAUCCCAUUUACUCAUGUCACCCCUGCCAAGUAGGUGUGACUAGUGUUAUCGCAAUCUCCAGUUUAGACUUGAGGACGUGGAGCUGAGAGGUCAAGUGUGGGGCUUCAGGCCACUAGUUCAUGUGUGAAGGAGUGGGACCGGAGUCCGGUGGUCAACCUUCUCCCCAGACCUCAUGGCUCGUCCACAGGCAGCUGACCUGAAACCACCAGGCUUGCACCCAGCUGCUGGGUGGUGGUCUCACACCCGCCGGCAACUCGGUAAGCACUUGGGCCCAAGAAAGUCCAGUCCCAGUACCUGAGCACAACUCUCCUGCUACACACGGCUCCUUGCCUCAGCCAGCUCCCUGCUCCGACCCUUGCUCUCACGUCCCGCUAUAGAACAGACAGUUCCUUCCUCUGGCCUUUGAUGCAUCUUGCACACACUUCUGCACUUAUGUUUUUACAUCUAGGACAUUAUUGUCACUAUUCACAUGACUCUCCUACCAGACUUCUCAAAGGGAAGGGCCUGUGUCCUGCCUCUCAGUUACUAGUUUGACACCUGGGACAUAGUGGCUGCCUACUAUUUGUUGUAAGAAAAAAGGAGAGUCUGAAAAACUAUUCAUCCUUCAAAACUAUGGCUAGAUGGGACCUAAAUUAACUUAAAAUCUUUUGCAUAGCAAAGGAAACUAUAAACGAAAAGAAAAGACAAUCCUCAGAAUGGGAGAAGAUAUUUGCAAAAGAAGCAGCUGAAAAGGGAUUCAUCGCCAAAAUAUACAAACAGCUCAUGUAGCUCAAUACCAAGUAAACAAAGAACCCAAUCAAAAGAUGGUCUUCAAAAAAAUGGGCAGAAGACCUAAAUAGACAUUUCUCCCAAGAAGACGUACAGAUG
RNA transcript from Cervus elaphus (red deer), 3365 nucleotides. It is a transcript of the gene named chromosome 5 C17orf100 homolog, with no coding region annotated. The transcript has 4 exons. The record is from RefSeq and is a predicted model, not a curated record. NCBI's taxonomy places the organism in Eukaryota, Metazoa, Chordata, Mammalia, Artiodactyla, Cervidae.